This 1211-nucleotide long non-coding RNA is filed under the name Salmo salar (Atlantic salmon). RNAcentral's name for it is "lncRNA (ENSSSAG00000095675.1)". Lineage: Eukaryota; Metazoa; Chordata; Actinopteri; Salmoniformes; Salmonidae. The record is from RNAcentral.
GCCCUGACCUCAACCCCAUCGAACACCUUUGGGAUGAAUUGGAAUGUCGACUGCGAGUAAUACGAACCCCCCAACAUCUUGACCUCACUAAUGGUCUUCUGGCUGAAUCGAAGCAAGUCUCAAGCAGUAGCUUGAGACUGCCCCGCAGCUCCCCCAGGAUUGCCUUGCAGAGCACAGAAGAAAUAUCAGCCCACAGAGAGAAGCAGGAGAUUGAACUUCACUCAACUUUCUAGAGUUUUCCCUGUUAGUUAACAUUAUCAACGUUUCCCUUUACUGUGGCAAUUGUAAUCAAGUGAGUUAUCAGCCCAGUUAUAGAUAAUGUGUAGUCAGCAAUAGGAGAGUGAUUGCUUCCUACAAGAGCACAAAAUGUCAACAUUUCUAGACAUCUUUGAAAAGCUAGUCAAAUAAAGAGCUUUUUUGUCUUAAAGGGGCAGUGUUGUUUUUGAGACAGACUUGAAUAAGCUUAGUAGCCAAUAGGCAGAGGGUAGCAUAAUUUGUCUGAUUAUCUGUAAUAAUGGUAUAAGAAUAACAAUGCAUUUUAUUUGGUUUCUUGAAUUAACCUUGUCAGAAGGACAAGUGGAUAAACAGGUUAAUGUCAAGCCCUGCAUGUUUUGUUUUUUUAAGUCUCACGGAAUGUAGGCCUACAUUGAACACCACACAUUGGCUGCUACUGUAGGCUGAAUGGUAGACCAGCUAUUUCCAUGUGUUAUGGGAUGCAUUUUCUCCAUUGUUUUUGAUGGUAGGCCACUCUGGUAGGCCUACAUUAUGAUCAAAUAGCAACAGUAGCCCACUUGGCCACUGUUAAAACUGUAACUUAAAGCGAGUACAGCCUCAGUGUUCACAGUAAAUGCGUGCUGGAAGAUGCACAGAAUUUUUACAACAUUCAAGUUUGCGCUCAGCAGACCUGAAAUUUGCUAAAUGCCCUCCCAAAAUUGAUGUCAAAUGAUAGAAUAAAAAACAUACCCCUGAUCUUUCUUCAGUUUGUUCAGGACGAUACUAUAUUUACAUUGACAUUUUUGUCAUUUAUUAGACGUUCUUAUCCAGAGUGACUUACAACCUGAUACAAAAGACUGUGAAUGUGUACAAAUGAUAACUUGCUAUGCUUGCUAGUUACAUUGUUUGCUAUGUUGUAGACAAUUCCUGCCAAGGUAACUAUAGCUAUCUAUUGGAAAUUGGGAAAGGGGCACAUUGCCCAACCCUUAAGGAAGUGC